This 255-nucleotide ribosomal RNA is filed under the name uncultured bacterium. RNAcentral describes it as "partial 16S ribosomal RNA". It matches the Rfam family "Bacterial small subunit ribosomal RNA", at positions 524 to 776 of the family's 1533-position model. The record is from RNAcentral.
UACGUAGGGUGCAAGCGUUGUCCGGAAUUAUUGGGCGUAAAGAGCUCGUAGGCGGUUUGUCGCGUCGGCUGUGAAAACUCGGGGCUCAACCCCGAGCCUGCAGUCGAUACGGGCAGACUAGAGUACUGCAGGGGAGACUGGAAUUCCUGGUGUAGCGGUGAAAUGCGCAGAUAUCAGGAGGAACACCGGUGGCGAAGGCGGGUCUCUGGGCAGUAACUGACGCUGGAGGAGCGAAAGCGUUGGGGAGCGAACAGG